GUCUGAGAAAGAUGACUGCACUCCAGACUGCAAUGACUGUCUUUCUGUGAGUCUGUGAGACAGACUGAGGUUAACAGAAGAGAAAGGACACAAGGCUAAAUAUGCUGCAUAGUAUGGAUGGUCACUGUCAGAAAGGCAUUUAUCUCACAUCAGAUAUCAUUCGGCAACCAGACACCAGUUUCCAGCUACACAAUGGUUAUUUGUAACCAACACAAUGCAUCUUUCAUUUUCAUAUGUGUAAUAUUUGGAUUCAGAUCACUCACAUCUGUCUCUGUGUGAGUCUAUGGAAUGUAAACAAUAAACAGACGGCGAUUGGCUUGUG
Long non-coding RNA from Conger conger (European conger), 322 nucleotides. RefSeq lists it as uncharacterized. Lineage: Eukaryota; Metazoa; Chordata; Actinopteri; Anguilliformes; Congridae. The transcript is spliced from 2 exons. The record is from RefSeq and is a predicted model, not a curated record.